This 251-nucleotide ribosomal RNA is filed under the name uncultured prokaryote. RNAcentral's name for it is "partial 16S rRNA". It matches the Rfam family "Bacterial small subunit ribosomal RNA", at positions 525 to 775 of the family's 1533-position model. The record is from RNAcentral.
ACGUAGGGGGCAAGCGUUGCUCGGAAUUACUGGGCGUAAAGGGUGUGUAGGUGGCUGAUUAAGUUAAGGAUGAAAUCCCGAGGCUCAACUUCGGAACUGUCCUUGAUACUGGUCAGCUUGAGGCUACUAAAGGAGAGCGGAAUUCCCGGUGGAGCGUCGAACUGGGUAGUUACCAAGAUGAGACACAAAAAGUUGAGGAGUACACUAGGAUAGUACCGACAUUGAUACACAAUAUUUAGUCUACCAAAAGG